Non-coding RNA from Rattus norvegicus (Norway rat), 5387 nucleotides. The record is from RefSeq and is a predicted model, not a curated record. NCBI's taxonomy places the organism in Eukaryota, Metazoa, Chordata, Mammalia, Rodentia, Muridae.
GUGGUGGAACACUUGGUUAGCAUGCUCAAGGUCUUGAGUACAAUCCCCAGGACCACAGGAAAAGUGAAUAUGGUCUCUCUCUCCACCUAUUUACUCUUCAUCCAUAAAAGAGAAGAAGUUCUGUUUUCUGCUGAAACAUGGACGGAACCAGAGGACAUAAUGGUUUUAUGUAGCCCAGAUUGGCCUCAGGCUCACUGUGCGGCCAAGGAGGAUCUUAAACUACUGGUUCCUGUCUCUCGAAGACUAUUACACUACCACACCAAGUGUGCACUCUCAUCUUGCCCGGUUCUAGGACACAUGGUCUUCACGUCUUCAGGUUGCAGUGGACUUCUGUGGGACAAGCAACGUCAUGCCCUACCCAGGUGCCGGUGGAAACUAGAUUCAGUUCUUAAUGACUCUACUCCCUCACCAGCAAAUGAUUUAAAUGAGAUAGGAUCUAUGGUCUUCUUAAGUAAAUAAAACCUGGAUGGAGGCUUUCUGUAGCUGUCAACACUGUAGUAUCUUUCUAUCUUCCUUUCUCACCAUACUCAGCAUUGGACAUAUUCUCCGUGGGAUAGAAAGCCCUUCUCCACCCACACACGCCCCUUCCCCUGACAUCACUGUGAGGGAACCAUGGGUAAGGGAGGCUGGAAAAGGUAUCUCAGUCCUAUGUGCCAGGUAGAUAUUGGGGGUCCCUUUCUGAAGAAGAAAGAAGAGGAGGAGGAAAUGGAAGAGGAAGAAAAGAGGAGGAUGACGACGACGAAGAGGAAGAGGAGGAGGAAGUCUGUAGCAGGUUAAUAACAGCCAUGUGACAAACACCCUCCCCAUUGGCUGGUUAACACUGGAGAGUGCUCAACGUGGUGCUUGGUUCAGAGGCCCCUCCCAGGGUUUAAAUCUACCAGAGAAAAUAGGAGUUAUUUCAAAACGCUGCUGUGUCAUAUGAAUUUCCAAAAACAAAGGAAAGGCUUGGGAGAGGGGAAUAAGUAGGUGCUCUACUUCCUGCACUUACCACUGAAGUGUCUUCAAGAGGCUGAUUUCUCAAUCCCCGUGUGUCCUUCAGAAGAGAUGGAGACAGUAAGAAAACAAUCACAGGAACAGAAGAAUUGCCGUUGGCGUGCAUGCAACUGACUUCGAGAUUCUGCUUGGCUUCAAGCUCAGAGUGAUGGUCAUGCUAUGUCAAUAUUCCUGUAUGGAGGGAGGGAGGUGGCAGCCCGUCUGGCUUGUUACCUGUCAGGUAAUACCUGGAUGCAUGUUUUAAGUUAACACCGAGGAUUGCUAGAGGACAGUGAUGUCAAAGUAUCUGAGGACCACAUCACCUCGGUUAUACCACAUGACACAAUUUAGGGAUGCAACGAUCACCUUCAAAUAUUUGAUUAGUUGCAUGGGAGAGCGCCUGGAGAACUGAAGGUAGAGAUGGGCCUUGCCAUUCUCAGAUCAUGGUCCUGCUCCCUCAAACCUUCCCUGUGUCUUUUAUCUGUUCCUGCCCUCCUCUCUUCAGGUGGACUCCUCCCUUCAGAGGCUGAUCCCACCUCCUACAGGGCAGACCUUGAUGAUAGCCACCCCAGAAAUUUUUGUUUUUCUUCUUCCCAGAGGUGGUUAAUAGGAUUGAUUUCUCUCAAUCUGUCCUCAGUGACAGUGAUGUAGGUGAUGCUCCUCGGGUCACGGGGUCGGGAGGCAGUGUUGGUCACUCCUCUCAAAGCUGUGAUCAUACACACAGGUUGAUGCACGCAGUGAGGAUCUAUUUUGCUGUGGUUUCUGAGGAUUAGUCCACCAUAGCAGGAAAGGUGUGAUGAAAACAAUGGGUGUGGCAGGCCAGGAAACAGAGAGAGGGGAUGCUGGCACUUGGCUGGUGUUUUCCUUCUUUCCUUCCUAUUCCUUUGGGACCUCUAGUCCAUGAGAUGUUGCUAUCAGAGCAGGUUUCUCCUGAGUUAAUCUCUGGAAAUGCACACACACACACACACACACACACACACACACACACACACACACAGGGCUGCCUUAUCAAUCUCCUAGUUUUUUUGUUUUUUUUUUUUCUAAAUCCAGUCACAUCGGCAAUGAAGAUGAGGACUCUCAGGGCUCCAGGAUUACAGAGGUUGAAUGACAUUCUCAAGCUCACAGAGUUACCACAAGAUAGAACUUGGAUUCAGUUCUCAGUCCACAAACCGAGAGCCUUCAGAUUCACAUCCAUGAUGUUAAACAUCCUAUUUCAUUCUCAUCUGACACCUUAAUUCAGGCCGCUUUCACUUUUCUCAGGAUUUAGCUCCAUGCCUCUGAGCUUUGCGCCACAUUCAGCAUUCUGCUGGAAGUAGACUCAAACACUUCAGCCUCCCGGCCUUGGACGCUUCCGUUGAUGUUUCAAAAUGAGACUCGUGAAACUGGAAGCCUCCCUGAAGGCGAGGCUCAAACCUCGAGGGCAGAAUCCCAGCUUUUGUGAUCAGACACCCAGGAUGCUGCCUCCGAUACCUCACCAGGAUGCUGCCUGGGAUAGCUCGGGCAUCGCUAAUGGUGCCAAGAGAUGACACAGAGUCACGAGGACGCAGAGCUAACAGGGAAUGAAUGCUUGAGACAGGAGUAGAGGGAACUCAUUACAGCACAAAACAGUUCACCGCCCAAAUAGAGUCUCUGGCCCCGAGGAGCUGGUAUUUCUCCGUGCUGAAUACACAGAAAGGAAAGCAAGGUGAUCACAUGACACCUGGCUGCUCUCUCAGCAGGCAGCUCCCGCAGCCAGGAUCAGACUGCUGGGUCUUCAGUAUAGCCUUCCCAAAUUCUUGGGUUAGAAAUAAUCCCUGGGCUGGAGAGAUGGCUCAGUGGUUAAGAGCACUGACUGCUCUUCCAGAGGUCCUGAGUUCAAAUCCCAGCACCCACAUGGUGGCUCACUGCCAUCUGUAAUGGGAUCUGAUGCCCUCUUCUGUUGCAUCUGAAGACAGCUACAGUAUAGUUAUAUAUAAUAAAUAAAUAAAUCUUUUAAAAAAAUCUAAUCCCCAAAUUCAUAUGUUGAUGGUAUUUGGAGGGGGGAACUUUGAGAGGUAAUUAGGGUGGAGGAGUCUCCCUGGGGGAUCAGUGAUGCUGACACCAUCCCUUGAAGUAUGCAGCCCUCCAAACUGUGCAAAACAGGCUGUGGGGCGAGGAGGGUGGCCCCGUGAGGAAGAGUGUUCCCGAUGCAAGCUGGACUUGAGUUCAAAUCCUGAAAGCUAUGUGAAAAGGCAGGAGGGGAUCACCAGAUGCUGGUGUGGUUGAUAAAUACAUGUAACCAGUGUUUCUGGAAUGAUUGGAUAUAGUCACAAGCUUAAUUAUUUAUCAGUUUGUGGUUCCUGGUAUGUUGGCAGAUGGUGGUUUCUUUUCGAGUAUAAAUAAGAGGCAGGAUCGUUCUAUUUCAGUCAUUAUGCUGAAAUGAUGGUUGACUUACAAAAUGAAGCAAUUCAAGGCUGGACACACCCUGUAGGCUUUUGUUCUGUAUGACCUAGAAUAGGGUUCUGAGGUGAGGGGAGGAAAGAGAGAACUAUGUGCAGCCACUGCCUUGGUUUCCAUGUUUCUCUUGGCUCAGUCACUCUGGGGGAAUGAAGAAGCUACCACAUCCUGAAGACUCGCAGGCAGGGAGUAAGAGGCUGGGAGGAGCUGUGUCUCUGGGCAGUCAACCAGAAAGGAACUAAGCUUGUAGUGACCACAUGACUGAGUUUGCAGGCAGAUCUUGCCCCAGCAGUGUUGGUAUAACUUCAGUCUCAGUGAAUGAUUCCGCUGAGACCACAGGCCAGAGCCACCAGAAGGCAAGCCAGGUUUCUAACCGAUAGAACUGAGAUGACACUCAUUGUUUUAAACUGCUGAGUUUAAGAGUAGUUCACUAUACAAUGACACAAACAAACAAACAAACAAACAGGCAUUUCCUUUCUUGGUUUUGCACUUUUCCUAGGGGAAAAAAGUGAAUAUAUGCUUUCAACAGAGACCUCCAAGAAGGUCCAACUCCAGGAGAUGAGACCCAGGCAAACGAUCAGCUUGAAAGAAGCUUCCCUUGAGGCCUGGGGAGAGAUUCACAGGGUUGGGACUUUUCCAGGCCGUGGGAAGAGUUGCUGUGGACUGUGAACUUAUACUUACUCCUGAACACAAUUUCGCGAACCUCUUUGGUGCAAAUGCUAACCAGACAAUUUAAGGACCUUGAAGUGCUGCAGAAACGGAGUUCCUUUAGUGCCCCCGCCAGCGGGGACCCCGACACUUUAGCUAUUCUGAAACUUCAGAGAACAGAAGGAGUUCUCAGGCCUCUGGCUUUUCAAUUGAGACAAUUCCUGGUGAUGCUUUUUGGAGUAAGGACUGAGCAGGCACUUGGUACUGAUUCCUCAUACACUCCCUGUGAGUCGCACCUCACCCUGUCUACCAUACGAACACUUCCAAGUCAGGAAGGUUUCUGACAUGAACAAAAGGCAUCCCACAAGAAUUCACGAGAGCACAAUCCCACAAGGGUGUGUGCGCACAAGAACACAACGCCACUUGGUUUUUCUGAUAAACUCACUCAUUGGUGGGUCCAGAACUGCAGGCUCCGAGCUACUCACCUGCACAUACCAAGAUGAGCUCCUCCACCUUGCUUCCUCUCCAGGAAACCUGUAGCUAAAAGCAUCAGUUUCCUGAAGUACUGCUGAUCUAGGUUAAGGCUUUUCUCUUGCCUUUGAAGUGUAGAUUCAGAACCUCUGGGGAGCUUCUAUUUUAAAGGUACAAGAAUAAGGCUGUUUCCUUCCUUUCAGAAGAACACAAGGUACAAACAAACCAGGAGGGGUGGAGGCGGGCUGCCUGGUCUGAGGUCAGGAGUCAGCAGCGGAGUGGAGAAGCAUCCCUUUGCAAUGCAUGGCCUCGAAGUAUGCAAAAUCAUGCCAAGUUAAUUUGGUGCAGCUGGGGAGGAUGGGAGGCUCUGUCAGAGUCUGUUGUUUGUGAGCCAACCACCUCAUUUCUCCAGCUGUUAGAGAGAGAGAGAGAGAGAGAGAGAGAGAGAGAGAGAGAGAGAGAGAGAGAGAGCACUAAAGGAAACAAAGAUGUAGAGGAAAUGAAGACGUUAGAGCCAGAAGCCAGUUUCUGCCAACAGGAACAAGAGGGGCGAUUGUGCUUCUCAUUCAGUGGCAACGUUGUCAAAAGGCACGAGACUCCAAUACGCGCUGAGACUGCAUGAGGGCCCCUCCAUGGGGAGUGCCAGAUGCGACUCUUUCAGAACCUCAGGUCUCAGAAGACUGGUCCCAGAAUGUCAGGGAGUGGCUAGUUUCUUGGUGGCCUCUCCAAGUAAGAGGAAAUGCAAACAUUGUGCCUGCUCUGUAGCUCUCUCAAAACCAGUGCAAAUGCAAGUCUUUCUCAGUGUGGGUCACACUUUUCUCUCAAUGUUAAUUAAAAACAGUCCUGGUCUUGUUUCAGGAAAGAUUCCCAGGACAGUAGCC